AUCGAACGAUGAAGCCCAGCUUGCUGGGCGGAUUAGUGGCGAACGGGUGAGUAAUACGUGAGUAACCUGCCUUUAACUCUGGGAUAAGCCUUGGAAACGGGGUCUAAUACCGGAUACGACCAACCCUCGCAUGAGGUGUUGGUGGAAAGGGAUUUUGUACUGGUUUUAGAUGGGCUCACGGCCUAUCAGCUUGUUGGUGAGGUAACGGCUCACCAAGGCGACGACGGGUAGCCGGCCUGAGAGGGUGACCGGCCACACUGGGACUGAGACACGGCCCAGACUCCUACGGGAGGCAGCAGUGGGGAAUAUUGCACAAUGGGCGCAAGCCUGAUGCAGCGACGCCGCGUGAGGGAUGACGGCCUUCGGGUUGUAAACCUCUUUCAGCAGGGGAGAAGCGAAAGUGACGGUACCUGCAGAAGAAGCGCCGGCUAACUACGUGCCAGCAGCCGCGGUAAUACGUAGGGCGCGAGCGUUGUCCGGAAUUAUUGGGCGUAAAGAGCUUGUAGGCGGUUUGUCGCGUCUGCUGUGAAAGCCCGGGGCUUAACCCCGGGUUUGCAGUGGGUACGGGCAGACUAGAGUGCAGUAGGGGAGACUGGAAUUCCUGGUGUAGCGGUGAAAUGCGCAGAUAUCAGGAGGAACACCAAUGGCGAAGGCAGGUCUCUGGGCUGUAACUGACGCUGAGAAGCGAAAGCAUGGGGAGCAAACAGGAUUAGAUACCCUGGUAGUCCAUGCCGUAAACGUUGGGCACUAGGUGUGGGGAACAUUCCACGUUUUCCGCGCCGUAGCUAACGCAUUAAGUGCCCCGCCUGGGGAGUACGGCCGCAAGGCUAAAACUCAAGAAUUGACGGGGGCCCGCACAGCGGCGGA
RNAcentral lists this ribosomal RNA (867 nucleotides) under Rothia sp. H29. RNAcentral describes it as "bacterial SSU rRNA". It matches the Rfam family "Bacterial small subunit ribosomal RNA", at positions 61 to 936 of the family's 1533-position model. Lineage: Bacteria; Bacillati; Actinomycetota; Actinomycetes; Micrococcales; Micrococcaceae. The record is from RNAcentral.